Molecule: ribosomal RNA, 465 nt
Filed under: Vreelandella stevensii
Lineage: Bacteria; Pseudomonadati; Pseudomonadota; Gammaproteobacteria; Oceanospirillales; Halomonadaceae
Description: partial 16S ribosomal RNA
Rfam family: Bacterial small subunit ribosomal RNA
Source: RNAcentral
CCUACGGGUGGCAGCAGUGGGGAAUAUUGGACAAUGGGCGAAAGCCUGAUCCAGCCAUGCCGCGUGUGUGAAGAAGGCCUUCGGGUUGUAAAGCACUUUCAGUGGGGAAGAAAGCCUUGGGGCUAAUACCCUCGAGGAAGGACAUCACCCACAGAAGAAGCACCGGCUAACUCCGUGCCAGCAGCCGCGGUAAUACGGAGGGUGCGAGCGUUAAUCGGAAUUACUGGGCGUAAAGCGCGCGUAGGCGGUCUGAUAAGCCGGUUGUGAAAGCCCCGGGCUCAACCUGGGAACGGCAUCCGGAACUGUCAGGCUAGAGUGCAGGAGAGGAAGGUAGAAUUCCCGGUGUAGCGGUGAAAUGCGUAGAGAUCGGGAGGAAUACCAGUGGCGAAAGCGGCCUUCUGGACUGACACUGACGCUGAGGUGCGAAAGCGUGGGUAGCAAACAGGAUUAGAUACCCGUGUAGUC